UGAAAAAAAGAAUCAUUGUAUCCAAGUCGUCCACAAAAAAAUAAAAAAAAGUGUCAAACGAUCGUAUUUAAAACUAGCAUAGGAAAAAACCCCAGUCGAAAACAUAACUUUCUUCUUCUUUUUUAGCGAUUUUCGAACAUCCACUCGUAUUCUUAUGCACAAAUAAGAACAUAACCCCUUUCCCAAAUUUGUACCAUCAAACUCCAAAAAAAUCCCAAGAAAACCCCCAAUUUGACGUGUUAAAAUCUCAUUGUAA
This 256-nucleotide long non-coding RNA is filed under the name Gossypium raimondii (Peruvian cotton). RNAcentral's name for it is "long non-coding RNA (GRAI_LNC010054)". Lineage: Eukaryota; Viridiplantae; Streptophyta; Magnoliopsida; Malvales; Malvaceae. The record is from RNAcentral.